GAAGCAUGACCGUAAGGACAUGUGGACAGUAUGGGAGUGAGAAUGUUGGCAUGAGUAGCGAGAUGUGGGUGAGAAUCCCACAGGCCGUAAACCCAAGGUUUCCAGGGGAAGGUUCGUCCGCCCUGGGGUAGUCGGGACCUAAGCUGAGGCCGAAAGGCGUAGGUGAUGGACAACAGGUUGAUAUUCCUGUACUACCGAUAACCGUUUGAGAGAAGGGAUGACACAGUAGGAUAAGCUAAGCACACUGUUGGUUAUGUGUGCCCAAGCAUUGAGGCAGUCAAAGUAGGCAAAUCCGCUUUGAUAAUGCUGGGAUGUGAUGGGGAGCGAAAUUUAGUAGCGAAGUAGCUGAUUUCACACUGUCAAGAAAAGUCUCUAUCGAGGUUAAAGGUACCCGUACCGCAAACCGACACAGGUG
Molecule: ribosomal RNA, 415 nt
Filed under: Clostridioides difficile
Lineage: Bacteria; Bacillati; Bacillota; Clostridia; Peptostreptococcales; Peptostreptococcaceae
Description: bacterial LSU rRNA
Rfam family: Bacterial large subunit ribosomal RNA
Source: RNAcentral